GCUUGAUUUGGCAACAUAUACUCAAACUGGAACAAUUUAGAGAGGACUGGCCUGGCCCCAGUGCAAGAAUGACUUAAAAAUUUAUAAAGCAUUCCAUAUUUUU
Small nuclear RNA from Cynocephalus volans (Philippine flying lemur), 103 nucleotides. The record is from RefSeq and is a predicted model, not a curated record. Lineage: Eukaryota; Metazoa; Chordata; Mammalia; Dermoptera; Cynocephalidae.